This 404-nucleotide ribosomal RNA is filed under the name Actinomycetes bacterium. Its description in RNAcentral is "Actinobacteria bacterium partial 16S ribosomal RNA". It matches the Rfam family "Bacterial small subunit ribosomal RNA", at positions 355 to 776 of the family's 1533-position model. Lineage: Bacteria; Bacillati; Actinomycetota; Actinomycetes. The record is from RNAcentral.
UGGGGAAUAUUGGACAAUGGGCGCAAGCCUGAUCCAGCCAUGCCGCGUGAGUGAUGAAGGCCCUAGGGUUGUAAAGCUCUUUCACCGGUGAAGAUAAUGACGGUAACCGGAGAAGAAGCCCCGGCUAACUUCGUGCCAGCAGCCGCGGUAAUACGAAGGGGGCUAGCGUUGUUCGGAUUUACUGGGCGUAAAGCGCACGUAGGCGGACUUUUAAGUCAGGGGUGAAAUCCCGGGGCUCAACCCCGGAACUGCCUUUGAUACUGGAAGUCUUGAGUAUGGUAGAGGUGAGUGGGAUUCCGAGUGUAGAGGUGAAAUUCGUAGAUAUUCGGGGGGACACCAGUGGCGAAGGCGGCUCACUGGGCCAUUACUGACGCUGAGGUGCGAAAGCGGGGGGGGCAAACAGG